Molecule: ribosomal RNA, 442 nt
Filed under: uncultured bacterium
Lineage: Bacteria
Description: partial 16S ribosomal RNA
Rfam family: Bacterial small subunit ribosomal RNA
Source: RNAcentral
CCUACGGGGGGCUGCAGUGAGGAAUAUUGGUCAAUGGACGAGAGUCUGAACCAGCCAAGUAGCGUGCAGGAUGAAGGCCUUCGGGUUGUAAACUGCUUUUAUAAGCGAGAAAUAUGAUGGUAACUUAUGAAUAAGGAACGGCUAACAACGUGCCAGCAGCCGCGGUCAUACGUAGGAGCCGAGCAUUAUCCGGAGUGACUGGGUGUAAAGAGUUGCGUAGGUGGGGUAAUAAGUAGCUAGUGAAAUCUGGUGGCUCAACCAUUCAGACUGUUAUCGAAACUGUUAAGCUCGAGACCAUUAGGGGAAACUGGAAUUUCUAGUGUAGGAGUGAAAUGCGUAGAUAUUAGAAAGAACACCGAUAGCGUAGGCAAGUUACUGGGACGGUUCUGACGCUGAGGCACGAAAGCGUAGGGAGCAAACGGGAUUAGAUACCCCUGUAGUC